CAACUAAUAGUUUAUAUAAAAUAUAGGUUUUGGAGACUUAAGAAAAAUUAUUUUAGUUGA
Molecule: transfer RNA, 60 nt
Filed under: Petalocephala ochracea
Lineage: Eukaryota; Metazoa; Arthropoda; Insecta; Hemiptera; Cicadellidae
Description: tRNA-Pro
Source: RNAcentral